GACGAACGCUGGCGGCGUGCUUAACACAUGCAAGUCGAACGGAAAGGCCCGCUUGCGGGUACUCGAGUGGCGAACGGGUGAGUAACACGUGGGCAACCUGCCCUCAGCUCUGGGAUAACUCCGGGAAACCGGUGCUAAUACUGGAUAUCGACUUCUGCCUCGCAUGGGGUGUUGUUGAAAGUUUUUCGGCUGGGGAUGGGCCCGCGGCCUAUCAGCUUGUUGGUGGGGUGAUGGCCUACCAAGGCGACGACGGGUAGCCGGCCUGAGAGGGCGACCGGCCACACUGGGACUGAGACACGGCCCAGACUCCUACGGGAGGCAGCAGUGGGGAAUAUUGCGCAAUGGGCGGAAGCCUGACGCAGCGACGCCGCGUGAGGGAUGACGGCCUUCGGGUUGUAAACCUCUUUCAGCUCUGACGAAGCGAGAGUGACGGUAGGAGCAGAAGAAGCACCGGCCAACUACGUGCCAGCCGCCGCCGUAACAC
Molecule: ribosomal RNA, 484 nt
Filed under: uncultured bacterium
Lineage: Bacteria
Description: bacterial SSU rRNA
Rfam family: Bacterial small subunit ribosomal RNA
Source: RNAcentral